CGGCAGCACGGGAGCUUGCUCCUGGUGGCGAGUGGCGAACGGGUGAGUAAUGUAUCGGAACGUACCCCGUCGUGGGGGAUAACUCUCCGAAAGGAGAGCUAAUACCGCAUACGACCCGAGGGUGAAAGCGGGGGACCUGGGGUAACCUGGGCCUCGCGCGAUGGGAGCGGCCGAUAUCGGAUUAGCUAGUUGGUGGGGUAAAGGCCUACCAAGGCGACGAUCCGUAGCGGGUCUGAGAGGACGACCCGCCACACUGGAACUGAGACACGGUCCAGACUCCUACGGGAGGCAGCAGUGGGGAAUUUUGGACAAUGGGCGCAAGCCUGAUCCAGCCAUUCCGCGUGAGUGAAGAAGGCCUUCGGGUUGUAAAGCUCUUUCAGCAGGAACGAAACGGUGGGUCUUAAUACGGCCUGCUAAUGACGGUACCUGCAGAAGAAGCACCGGCUAACUACGUGCCAGCAGCCGCGGUAAUACGUAGGGUGCGAGCGUUAAUCGGAAUUACUGGGCGUAAAGCGUGCGCAGGCGGCGACAUAGGACAGAUGUGAAAUCCCCGGGCUCAACCUGGGAACGGCGUUUGUGACUGUGUGGCUAGAGUGUAGCAGAGGGGGGUGGAAUUCCACGUGUAGCAGUGAAAUGCGUAGAGAUGUGGAGGAACACCGAUGGCGAAGGCAGCCCCCUGGGUUAACACUGACGCUCAUGCACGAAAGCGUGGGGAGCAAACAGGAUUAGAUACCCUGGUAGUCCACGCCCUAAACGAUGCCAACUAGGUGUU
This 772-nucleotide ribosomal RNA is filed under the name uncultured soil bacterium. RNAcentral's name for it is "bacterial SSU rRNA". It matches the Rfam family "Bacterial small subunit ribosomal RNA", at positions 67 to 824 of the family's 1533-position model. The record is from RNAcentral.